UAAUUGCCUUGAAUUGGUUUUUAUUAAUUCUCAAGGCAACCAUGACAUCUGUCAACGGAUAUCCAAACCCAUAAAUAGUUGGAACUUGCGAUUGGUAUUUGGCCUUGUGUCUAUUGGUAAGUUUGGAUUUUGUUGCUAAUAUUGUGUUCUUUUUGCAGCAAUGCAGAACCAGUAUCGGGGGUGGACGAUCAUGUGAAAACAAUCAGAGGAGCAGGUUGAGCAGCAUCUUAAAUCCUCUAGAAGCGAUGCUAAAAGAAUGUGUUUCCAGCAUUAUCAUCCCAUUGCAGGGAUCAGUGAUUGUAACAUAUUUCCACAUAAUCUUAUGUACAUAUGAAGACUGUGCCUUUGAGACAUUGCAUAUACACGACAGUAAGCUUUUUGCUAAGAAUUUACUGAUCUUUCUCGGCCUCUGUUCUCCUUGGCACAUAUAUGCGACUUUUCCUUCUCUGACCUCAUACUCUGGCAUUCAUAUACGUGCUUUUGUUGACAGACCAAUUUCCGAUAGAUAAAUAUCUUACUAGUGUAUAAAAUGUGGAGUUGGUUACUCGUGCAAUCUUCAUUCAAGGUUCCCUCUUUUUUGGGUACAGCAUUCAAGGGUUCUUAAUACCAGGCAGCCUGCUAUAAGAUGGACAGACUUGAGAACGGAUAAAACGUAGCAGCAGGUGCAAGAGGAUGGCGUCUUUGAGGAUAGUGUUAUAUAAGAUGAUGACAUAAUUCUUCUAGGGCUCACCACCUGGUCUCUGAUGCCUUUUGACACUGCAUUUCUUUCGCAUUUCUCUGGAGCAUUUCAGCAACUAUUACAGGGAUCAGUAGUUGAAUAGAUUGGUACGGUAGGCCUCACGUUGAUCAACAGUGAAUCACCUAACACUUUUUCUUGCCUCCAAUGUCCAUCCAGGUUAAAGACUCGA
RNAcentral lists this long non-coding RNA (908 nucleotides) under Phoenix dactylifera (date palm). RNAcentral's name for it is "long non-coding RNA (PDAC_LNC015496)". Lineage: Eukaryota; Viridiplantae; Streptophyta; Magnoliopsida; Arecales; Arecaceae. The record is from RNAcentral.